GACGAACGCUGGCGGCGCGCUUAACACAUGCAAGUCGAGCGAUGAAACUUUAACAGAACCCUUCGGGGCGAAGAUAAAGUGGAUUAGCGGCGGACGGGUGAGUAACACGUGAGUAACCUGUCUUAGACAUUGGGAUAGCCUCGGGAAACCGGGAUUAAUACCAAAUAAAAUCAUAAUGACACAUGUCAUAACGAUCAAAACUCCGGUGGUCUAAGAUGGAGUUGCGUCGCAUUAGCUAGUUGGUAGAGUAAAAGCCUACCAAGGCGACGAUGGGUAGCCGGGCGGAGAAGGGGAACGGCCACAAUGGAACUGAGAAACGGUCCAAACUCCGACGGAAGGCAGCAGAGGAGAAUAUUGCGCAAUGGAGGGAACUCUGAUGCAGCGACGCGGCGUGAACGAAGAAGGCUGUCGAGUCGUAAAGUUCUUUUAUAUGGGAAGAUAAUGACGGUACCAGAAGAAAAAGCCCCGGCUAACUACGUG
Molecule: ribosomal RNA, 480 nt
Filed under: uncultured bacterium
Lineage: Bacteria
Description: partial 16S ribosomal RNA
Rfam family: Bacterial small subunit ribosomal RNA
Source: RNAcentral